UACGUAGGGGGCUAGCGUUGUCCGGAUUUAUUGGGCGUAAAGAGCGUGUAGGCGGCCAGGUAGGUCUGCUGUGAAAACUCGAGGCUCAACCUCGAGACGUCGGCGGAAACCAUCUGGCUAGAGUCCGGAAGAGGAGAGUGGAAUUCCUGGUGUAGCGGUGAAAUGCGCAGAUAUCAGGAGGAACACCAAUAGCGAAGGCAGCUCGCUGGGACGGUACUGACGCUGAGACGCGAAAGCGUGGGGAGCGAACAGG
RNAcentral lists this ribosomal RNA (253 nucleotides) under uncultured bacterium. Its description in RNAcentral is "partial 16S ribosomal RNA". It matches the Rfam family "Bacterial small subunit ribosomal RNA", at positions 524 to 776 of the family's 1533-position model. The record is from RNAcentral.